CAAGCUGCUGUGGGGACUUUUGUUCCCCUCCUCAAAAAGUCUGUGCCAUCUUCUCCCACCCCCUCCUGGGUAGAAGGCGGGGCUGACCCCAGGGCUGGGAGAGGGGAGGGGACCGCAGGGCAGAUGGGCUCCUCGGCCCCCAGGGGGCCGCCUGGGCUGCUAGUCUCCAGAAUAGGGACGCUGGGCAUUCUCCGUUCUGGGAGAGCCUUUGUCUGAAAGCACAGCCCCCCUCGCCAUCCCUCUCCCCACUGCUCCCCUUCAUUGGCAUUAAUCUGGGCACCAGCUAGUUCCAUAGCAGUGACUUCCCUCACCACUCAUCUCUCGGCCUUGCCUUUUCUUCCUCACACUGUCGCCCCUCCUCUCAGGAGACACUGCCCGGGGGCCCCCGUGGCCGGCCGCCUGGCGGGAGGCUGGACAGGGCAGCAGGGCCGGGAGCCUCUGCCCUCCACAGGGUGGGGGGCACAGAUAGGCCAAGUGACUCCCAGCUUGCUAACCUCUGCAGCCAGCGUGGGAGUGGCUGGUUAUGGGCGCUUGGCUGGUGGCAGCCGCCGCAUCCCUUAAUUUAUUUCUCUGCUGCUUCUGUUCUUGAGAAACUGGGGGGGGCGGGUCCUGAACAGAGGCUGCCUCUACCCUCACCUGAGUUGUACAUUUUUUGUGAUGGGUUUUAUUUUUUAUUUUAUUAUUUUAUUUUAUUUUUUUCUUUUGAUUUAUGAUGACUCCACUCCCACUCAUCACCCCACUCCCAGGCCUGGCUCCCUGGCAAGUCGAGCCCUUGGUUCCCAGGAAGGGGCCUCGCCAACCUCAGCCCUCCUGCCCCAAGCCCUGAAUGCGGGCUCCGGCUCCCACCAAGGGCUCCCCUCCCUUCUUCCCUCCCCCCUCCUGCCCUAUGGAACAGCCCGGGUGCUCCGAGGGGCCGGGAGGGCAAGGCUUGGCUCCCAAAGGGGGUGGUGGCCAGGGGCUGGGGGGGGGGGCCUCCCAGGCAAGGUGGCCCCUCCCCACCCAGCCCCCCCUUCCUGCACUUAGUUUCUCCUCUGGAUCAAACACGUAAUAAAGAGAAUGUUUGGAAUCUG
Molecule: long non-coding RNA, 1070 nt
Filed under: Phocoena sinus (vaquita)
Lineage: Eukaryota; Metazoa; Chordata; Mammalia; Artiodactyla; Phocoenidae
Description: lncRNA (ENSPSNG00000004568.1)
Source: RNAcentral